RNAcentral lists this ribosomal RNA (497 nucleotides) under uncultured bacterium. RNAcentral's name for it is "partial 16S ribosomal RNA". It matches the Rfam family "Bacterial small subunit ribosomal RNA", at positions 28 to 507 of the family's 1533-position model. The record is from RNAcentral.
GAUGAACGCUGGCGGCGUGCCUAAUACAUGCAAGUCGAGCGAACGGACGAGAAGCUUGCUUCUCUGAUGUUAGCGGCGGACGGGGGAGUAACACGUGGAUAACCUACCUAUAAGACUGGGAUAACUUCGGGAAACCGGAGCUAAUACCGGAUAAUAUUUUGAACCGCAUGGUUCAAAAGUGAAAGACGGUCUUGCUGUCACUUAUAGAUGGAUCCGCGCUGCAUUAGCUAGUUGGUAAGGUAACGGCUUACCAAGGCAACGAUGCAUAGCCGACCUGAGAGGGUGAUCGGCCACACUGGAACUGAGACACGGUCCAGACUACUACGGGAGGCAGCAGUAGGGAAUCUUCCGCAAUGGGCGAAAGCCUGACGGAGCAACGCCGCGUGAGUGAUGAAGGUCUUCGGAUCGUAAAACUCUGUUAUUAGGGAAGAACGUAUGUGUAAGUAACUGUGCACAUCUUGACGGUACCUAAUCAGAAAGCCACGGCUAACUACGUG